Molecule: ribosomal RNA, 447 nt
Filed under: Peribacillus simplex
Lineage: Bacteria; Bacillati; Bacillota; Bacilli; Caryophanales; Bacillaceae
Description: bacterial SSU rRNA
Rfam family: Bacterial small subunit ribosomal RNA
Source: RNAcentral
GGACUUGCUCCUGUUUUUCCGGCGGANGNUGAGUACNCUUUGGGCACCUGCCUAUAAGACUGGGAUAACUUCGGGNAACCGGAGCUAAUACCGGAUACGUUCUUUUCUCGCAUGAGAGAAGAUGGAAAGACGGUUUACGCUGUCACUUAUAGAUGGGCCCGCGGCGCAUUAGCUAGUUGGUGAGGUAAUGGCUCACCAAGGCGACGAUGCGUAGCCGACCUGAGAGGGUGAUCGGCCACACUGGGACUGAGACACGGCCCAGACUCCUACGGGAGGCAGCAGUAGGGAAUCUUCCGCAAUGGACGAAAGUCUGACGGAGCAACGCCGCGUGAACGAAGAAGGCCUUCGGGUCGUAAAGUUCUGUUGUUAGGGAAGAACAAGUACCAGAGUAACUGCUGGUACCUUGACGGUACCUAACCAGAAAGCCACGGCUAACUACGUGCCAGC